This 791-nucleotide ribosomal RNA is filed under the name uncultured bacterium. RNAcentral's name for it is "bacterial SSU rRNA". It matches the Rfam family "Bacterial small subunit ribosomal RNA", at positions 39 to 807 of the family's 1533-position model. The record is from RNAcentral.
GCGGCGUGCCUAACACAUGCAAGUCGAACGGAGAAUUUUAUUUCGGUAGAAUUCUUAGUGGCGAACGGGUGAGUAACGCGUAGGCAACCUGCCCUUUAGACGGGGACAACAUUCCGAAAGGAGUGCUAAUACCGGAUGUGAUCAUUGUGCCGCAUGGCAGGGUGAAGAAAGAUGGCCUCUACAAGUAAGCUAUCGCUAAAGGAUGGGCCUGCGUCUGAUUAGCUAGUUGGUAGUGUAACGGACUACCAAGGCGAUGAUCAGUAGCCGGUCUGAGAGGAUGAACGGCCACAUUGGGACUGAGACACGGCCCAAACUCCUACGGGAGGCAGCAGUGGGGAAUCUUCCGCAAUGGACGAAAGUCUGACGGAGCAACGCCGCGUGAGUGAUGAAGGAUUUCGGUCUGUAAAGCUCUGUUGUUUAUGACGAACGUGCAGUGUGUGAACAAUGCAUUGCAAUGACGGUAGUAAACGAGGAAGCCACGGCUAACUACGUGCCAGCAGCCGCGGUAAUACGUAGGUGGCGAGCGUUGUCCGGAAUUAUUGGGCGUAAAGAGCAUGUAGGCGGCUUAAUAAGUCGAGCGUGAAAAUGCGGGGCUCAACCCGUAUGGCGCUGGAAACUGUUAGGCUUGAGUGCAGGAGAGGAAAGGGGAAUUCCCAGUGUAGCGGUGAAAUGCGUAGAUAUUGGGAGGAACACCAGUGGCGAAGGCGCCUUUCUGGACUGUGUCUGACGCUGAGAUGCGAAAGCCAGGGUAGCGAACGAGAUUAGAUACCCCGGUAGUCCUGGCCGUAAAC